UGCCGAAACCCGGGAUCGAACCAGGGACCUUUAGAUAUCCAGUCUAACGCUCUCCAAACUGAGCUAUUUCUGC
RNAcentral lists this transfer RNA (73 nucleotides) under Cordylochernes scorpioides. RNAcentral describes it as "tRNA-Ser". Lineage: Eukaryota; Metazoa; Arthropoda; Arachnida; Pseudoscorpiones; Chernetidae. The record is from RNAcentral.